AGUGAACGCUGGCGGUAGGCCUAACACAUGCAAGUCGAACGGCAGCACAGUAAGAGCUUGCUCUUACGGGUGGCGAGUGGCGGACGGGUGAGGAAUACAUCGGAAUCUACUUUUUCGUGGGGGAUAACGUAGGGAAACUUACGCUAAUACCGCAUACGACCUACGGGUGAAAGCAGGGGAUCUUCGGACCUUGCGCGAUUGAAUGAGCCGAUGUCGGAUUAGCUAGUUGGCGGGGUAAAGGCCCACCAAGGCGACGAUCCGUAGCUGGUCUGAGAGGAUGAUCAGCCACACUGGAACUGAGACACGGUCCAGACUCCUACGGGAGGCAGCAGUGGGGAAUAUUGGACAAUGGGCGAAAGCCUGAUGCAGCCAUGCCGCGUGAGUGAAGAAGGUCUUCGGAUCGUAAAGCCCUUUUGUUGGGAAAGAAAAGCAGCGUGUUAAUACCCGGCUGUUCUGACGGUACCCAAAGAAUAAGCACCGGCUAACUUCGUG
RNAcentral lists this ribosomal RNA (492 nucleotides) under uncultured bacterium. RNAcentral describes it as "partial 16S ribosomal RNA". It matches the Rfam family "Bacterial small subunit ribosomal RNA", at positions 29 to 507 of the family's 1533-position model. The record is from RNAcentral.